RNAcentral lists this ribosomal RNA (492 nucleotides) under uncultured bacterium. RNAcentral's name for it is "partial 16S ribosomal RNA". It matches the Rfam family "Bacterial small subunit ribosomal RNA", at positions 29 to 507 of the family's 1533-position model. The record is from RNAcentral.
AGUGAACGCUGGCGGUAGGCCUAACACAUGCAAGUCGAACGGCAGCACAGUAAGAGCUUGCUCUUACGGGUGGCGAGUGGCGGACGGGUGAGGAAUACAUCGGAAUCUACUUUUUCGUGGGGGAUAACGUAGGUAAACUUACGCUAAUACCGCAUAUGACCUACGGGUGAAAGCAGGGGAUCUUCGGACCUUGCGCGAUUGAAUGAGCCGAUGUCGGAUUAGCUAGUUGGCGGGGUAAAGGCCCACCAAGGCGACGGUCCGUAGCUGGUCUGAGAGGAUGAUCAGCCACACUGGAACUGAGACAGGGUCCAGACUCCUACGGGGGGCAACGGUGGGGAAUAUUGGACAAUGGGCACAAGCCUGAUCCAGCCAUACCGCGUGGGUGAGGAAGGCCUUCGGGUUUUAAAGCCCUUUUGGUGGGAAAGAAAAGCAGCAGGUUAAUACCCCGCUGUUCUGACGGUACCCAAAGAAUAAGCACCGGCUAACUUCGUG